GGGGAGAUACCAAAGUGGCCAACUGGAACAGACUGUAAAUCUGUCGUCAUAUGACUUCGAAGGUUCGAAUCCUUCUCUCCCCACAA
Molecule: transfer RNA, 86 nt
Filed under: Sporocytophaga myxococcoides
Lineage: Bacteria; Pseudomonadati; Bacteroidota; Cytophagia; Cytophagales; Cytophagaceae
Description: tRNA-Tyr
Rfam family: tRNA
About the family: Transfer RNA (tRNA) molecules are approximately 80 nucleotides in length. Their secondary structure includes four short double-helical elements and three loops (D, anti-codon, and T loops).
Source: RNAcentral